GCUCGACCAAAGACUUGGUUCGCUCAAUUCCUUGGGAGGCAUUACGUUUUUUAGCAGCCAUUCUCGCCUUGCAGUCGUCCAUCCUUGCUUGAAGCUCCUUCAUCUGUGCAGCCAAACUGGUCAUCAAAGAGUCUUCAAUCAUAACUUCGGAAGAGAUUUCUUUCAAUUCGUCCUCAGCUUUGUUGAUCUCCAGAAGCAAAGACUCUCUUUCAGAUACAGCGCGAAGAUAUUGAGUACUUUUGGCCUUCAGUUCAACAUUUUUGGCCAGCAAGGAGAGAAUCUCGGAAUGGACAACUUUCAACGUCGCUUUAAAAUCAGCAGAAAGAUUGAGCGACGGAAGUGUCAGUGCUUGCGCC
RNAcentral lists this long non-coding RNA (356 nucleotides) under Olea europaea subsp. europaea. Lineage: Eukaryota; Viridiplantae; Streptophyta; Magnoliopsida; Lamiales; Oleaceae. The record is from RNAcentral.